Molecule: ribosomal RNA, 472 nt
Filed under: uncultured bacterium
Lineage: Bacteria
Description: bacterial SSU rRNA
Rfam family: Bacterial small subunit ribosomal RNA
Source: RNAcentral
ACUCCUACGGGAGGCAGCAGUGGGGAAUAUUGCACAAUGGGGGAAACCCUGAUGCAGCCAUGCCGCGUGUGUGAAGAAGGCCUUCGGGUUGUAAAGCACUUUCAGUUGUGAGGAAAGGUUGGUAGUUAAUACCUGCAAUCUGUGACGUUAGCGACAGAAGAAGCACCGGCUAACUCCGUGCCAGCAGCCGCGGUAAUACGGAGGGUGCGAGCGUUAAUCGGAAUUACUGGGCGUAAAGCGUGCGUAGGCGGAUGAUUAAGCGAGAUGUGAAAUCCCGGGGCUCAACCUCGGAACUGCAUUUCGAACUGGUCAUCUAGAGUACUGUAGAGGGUGGUGGAAUUUCCAGUGUAGCGGUGAAAUGCGUAGAGAUUGGAAGGAACAUCAGUGGCGAAGGCGGCCACCUGGACAGAUACUGACGCUGAGGCACGAAAGCGUGGGGAGCAAACAGGGAUUAGAUACCCUGGUAGGAUAG